RNAcentral lists this long non-coding RNA (202 nucleotides) under Pelobates cultripes (western spadefoot toad). The record is from RNAcentral. Lineage: Eukaryota; Metazoa; Chordata; Amphibia; Anura; Pelobatidae.
CCCCGGCUGCAGUAACAGUCUCCGUUCGCUUAAUCUGUAGUAUACGAACCAAAUGCAGGGGAAGCGGCAAUCUCCCGACCGAGAUCCGUGAACGGCUCCAAACUCCCGAACGGCAAUACACGAACUGCUGCUAGCCGCCGAACAACAAUAUUCACCAAGCGGCUUCCGUUCCAUCCAGCAGUCUCUAAACGUGAAGAAGAAA